Molecule: non-coding RNA, 108 nt
Organism: Borealophlyctis nickersoniae
Lineage: Eukaryota; Fungi; Chytridiomycota; Chytridiomycetes; Rhizophlyctidales; Borealophlyctidaceae
Source: the annotation of a GenBank genome assembly
GCCGGCUUAGCACAGAGGUAGCUGCGUCUGCCUUGUAGGUACCUUACGUAGUCAUCUCGUAAGCACUACGAUAGCAGAAGGUCGUGUGUUCAAUCCACACAGUCGGCA